This 841-nucleotide ribosomal RNA is filed under the name Phyllosticta telopeae. Its description in RNAcentral is "LSU rRNA". It matches the Rfam family "Eukaryotic large subunit ribosomal RNA", at positions 71 to 928 of the family's 3401-position model. Lineage: Eukaryota; Fungi; Ascomycota; Dothideomycetes; Botryosphaeriales; Phyllostictaceae. The record is from RNAcentral.
GGGAUUGCCUUAGUAACGGCGAGUGAAGCGGCAAUAGCUCAAAUUUGAAAGCUGGCGUCUUCGACGUCCGCGUUGUAAUUUGUAGAGGAUGCUUCGGCGAGGACUCCUGCCUAAGUCCCCUGGAACGGGGCGUCACAGAGGGUGAGAAUCCCGUAUGUGGCGGGCGGUCCAAGCCAUGUGAAGCUCCUUCGACGAGUCGAGUUGUUUGGGAAUGCAGCUCUAAAUGGGAGGUAAAUUUCUUCUAAAGCUAAAUAUUGGCCAGAGACCGAUAGCGCACAAGUAGAGUGAUCGAAAGAUGAAAAGCACUUUGGAAAGAGAGUUAAAAAGUACGUGAAAUUGUUGAAAGGGAAGCGCUUGCAACCAGACUCGCUCGCAGUUGCUCAGCCGGCCUCUUGGCCGGUGUACUCUUCUGCGAUCGGGCCAGCAUCAGUUCGGGCGGCCGGAUAAAGGUGUCGGGAAUGUAGCACCCUUCGGGGUGUGUUAUAGCCCGGCGCGGAAUGCGGCCAGCCUGGACUGAGGAUCUCGCUUCGGCAAGGAUGCUGGCGUAAUGGUUGUAAGCGGCCCGUCUUGAAACACGGACCAAGGAGUCUAACAUCUAUGCGAGUGUUUGGGUGUCAAACCCAUGCGCGUAAUGAAAGUGAACGGAGGUGGGAACCCCUCACGGGGUGCACCAUCGACCGAUCCUGAUGUCUUCGGAUGGAUUUGAGUAAGAGCAUAGCUGUUGGGACCCGAAAGAUGGUGAACUAUGCCUGAAUAGGGUGAAGCCAGAGGAAACUCUGGUGGAGGCUCGCAGCGGUUCUGACGUGCAAAUCGAUCGUCAAAUUUGGGUAUAGGGGCGAAA